This is a long non-coding RNA of Oncorhynchus tshawytscha (Chinook salmon), 482 nucleotides long. NCBI's taxonomy places the organism in Eukaryota, Metazoa, Chordata, Actinopteri, Salmoniformes, Salmonidae. The record is from Ensembl.
GGAGGAGGAUGGAGGAAGUGGUACUGAAGGUAAUGUAUGGAAGGAGGAGGAUGGAGGAAGUGGUACUGAAGGUAAUGUAUGGAAGGAGGAGGGGGGAGGAUGGAGGAAGUGGUACUGAAGGUAAUGUAUGGAAGGAGGAGGAUGAGGAAGUGGAAGUGGUACUGAAGGUAAUGUAUGGAAGGAGGAGGGGGGGGGAUGGAGGAAGUGGUACUGAAGGUAAGGCAUGGAAGGAGGAGGGGGAGGAUGGAGGAAGUGGUACUGAAGGUAAUGUAUGGAGGAUGGGAGUGAGCGAGUUGUUAUGGGAUACGGGGGAUGUUUAAAUCAAAGGUUUACACUACAGCUUCGCUCCAACAUCAAAGCUUGCCCUCUCUUCUCUCGUUACUCUGGGAAGUCCCCCCCCAUCUUUCCCCUCCCUCUCCCUGCCAACCUGUUCCUCCUGUUCUUCAGUUAGAGCACAGUUGCAUCAAAGCGUCAUCUUCGAG